AGAGGAAGUAAAAGUCGUAACAAGGUCUCCGUAGGUGAACCUGCGGAGGGAUCAUUACCGAGUGCGCGCCCCCCGGGGCCGACCUCCAACCCAUUGUUAUCCGACCACGUUGCCUCGGGGGCGACCCGGCCGUUUGGCCCCGGGGCCCCCGGUGGAAACCCAUCAAAACCCUGCAUCUCUGGCGUCUGAGUAGAAAUUGAAUCAAUCAAAACUUUCAACAACGGAUCUCUUGGUUCUGGCAUCGAUGAAGAACGCAGCGAAAUGCGAUAAGUAAUGUGAAUUGCAGAAUUCAGUGAAUCAUCGAAUCUUUGAACGCACAUUGCGCCCCCUGGCAUUCCGGGGGGCAUGCCUGUUCGAGCGUCAUUACACCACUCAAGCCUCGCUUGGUAUUGGGGGCCGCGGGAGACCGCGCCCCUUAAAGUCACCGGCUGGACCGUCCGUCUCUACGCGUUGUGGCAACUAUCCGCGAGCGAGACCGGGCGACCCGGCCGUUAAACCCCCCAUCAUAGGUUGACCUCGGAUCAGGUAGG
Molecule: ribosomal RNA, 530 nt
Filed under: Euteratosphaeria verrucosiafricana
Lineage: Eukaryota; Fungi; Ascomycota; Dothideomycetes; Mycosphaerellales; Teratosphaeriaceae
Also listed under: 1 other name
Description: eukaryotic LSU rRNA
Rfam family: 5.8S ribosomal RNA (bases 210-363)
Source: RNAcentral